Molecule: ribosomal RNA, 468 nt
Filed under: uncultured bacterium
Lineage: Bacteria
Description: partial 16S ribosomal RNA
Rfam family: Bacterial small subunit ribosomal RNA
Source: RNAcentral
GACGAACGCUGGCGGCGUGCUUAACACAUGCAAGUCGAACGGAAAGGCCCUGCUUUUGUGGGGUGCUCGAGUGGCGCACGGGUGAGUAACACGUGAGUAACCUGCCCUUGACUUUGGGAUAACUUCAGGAAACUGGGGCUAAUACCGGAUAGGAGCUCCUGCAGCAUGGUGGGGGUUGGAAAGUUUCGGCGGUUGGGGAUGGACUCGCGGCUUAUCAGCUUGUUUGUGGGGUAGUGGCUUACCAAGGCUUUGACGGGUAGCCGGCCUGAGAGGGUGACCGGGGACAUUGGGACUGCGAUACGGCGCAGACUGCUACGGGAGGCAGUAGUGGGGAAUAUUGCACAAUGGGCGGAAGCCUGAUGCAGCAACGCCGCGUGCGGGAUGACGGCCUUCGGGUUGUAAACCGCUUUCGCCUAUGACGAAGCGUGAGUGACGGUAAUGGGUAAAGAAGCACCGGCUAACUACGUG